AAAAUAAUCCUACCCUUUGUGAAUUUUGUUUGUUUGAAUAAUUUUUUUUUUAAAAAAUUAUUGGAGUCUUUCCCUUUAGAGUUUGCUUUUGAGUUUGUAAAAGAAUUCGAAAACAUCUAAAGGGGAUGGUCAAUAAUUUUUUUGAAAAAAGACAUUUUUUAAAAUUAAACUUUUUGUAUUCAUUUGUCUAAAAAUUAUUUUUAUAAUAUAAAAACAACUUUUGACAAUGGAUCUCUUGGUUCUCGCAACGAUGAAGAACGCAGCAAAAUGCGAUAAGUAGUGUGAAUUGCAGAAUACGUGAAUCAUCGAAUCUUUGAACGCAUAUUGCACUUUUUUAGUUUACUAAAAAGUAUGUCUGUUGAGUAUCAGUAAAAUAUUCUCAUAAAAAUCAUUGGUAUUUUUAUGGUUAUGAGUGUUUUACAACGAUACAAGUUGUUUCACUUUAAAUUUUUUUUUAAUAUUGAAAUUUUUCUAAUUUUAAUAAUUAAAUUGGAUAAAAUUUUCCCGUCAAAAGGAAUAACCUAAACAAUUUUAAAUGAUUAAUUUUAGCAAAAUUUCGUAAAAAAGGAAAAUUUUUAUUAAAAUAACUUGAUCUCAAAUCAGAUAAGAGUACCCGCUGAACUUAAGCAUAUCAAUAAGCGGAGGAAAAGAAACUAACAAGGAUUCCCUUAGUAACGGCGAGUGAAGCGGGAAGAGCUCAAAUUUGAAAUCUUCAAGGUUUUACCUUGACGAAUUGUAGUUUAAAGAAGUGUUUCUGCUGAAGUUUUGGUAAAAGUUCUUUGGAAUAGGACAUCAUAGAGGGUGAGAAUCCCGUAUUUGACCAUUAUUUUCAGCUUUGUGAUACACUUUCAAAGAGUCGGAUUGUUUGGGAAUGCAGUCCAAAAUGGGUGGUAAAUUUCAUCUAAAGCUAAAUAUUGGCGAGAGACCGAUAGCGAACAAGUACCGUGAGGGAAAGAUGAAAAGAACUUUGAAAAGAGAGUUAAACAGUACGUGAAAUUGUCAAAAGGGAAGCGUUUGACACCAGUGUUGUUUUCUCGAAAAUCAAUUAAAAAUGGCUCGAUUUUGUAUUGCUGAGACCUUAAAAGCUCACUGUACAUUUUUCGUGUCUUUUUUAAUGCACUUUUCGUUUAACAAGUCAACAUCAGUUUCUUUUGUUGUAAAAGGGUCAUUGGAAGGUGGCUUCCUUUUCGGAGAAAGUGUUUAUAGCCUUUGGCCUCUGCAAUCGAAGAGACUGAGGUCUGCAGCGUAGACUCUUCGGGGUUAGAUGCAUUUGUGCUAAGUUAUAGCUUUUAUAGACAACUUGUUGACUAUAUUAGUCUUGUAGCUUACUCGCUUAUGCUAUUU
This 1344-nucleotide unclassified non-coding RNA is filed under the name uncultured Neocallimastigales. Its description in RNAcentral is "partial contains internal transcribed spacer 1, 5.8S ribosomal RNA, internal transcribed spacer 2, and large subunit ribosomal RNA". The stretch from base 590 to 1344 matches the Rfam family "Eukaryotic large subunit ribosomal RNA", at positions 1 to 617 of the family's 3401-position model. The record is from RNAcentral. Lineage: Eukaryota; Fungi; Neocallimastigomycota; Neocallimastigomycetes; Neocallimastigales.